GUGCUCACCUCAGCAGCAAUUAUAUCAAUACUAAAGUUGGACUGAUUUAAAGAAAAUCAGUAUGGCCCCUGUGCAAGAAUGACACAAAUUUCUGAAGCAUUCUAAAUUUAU
Molecule: small nuclear RNA, 111 nt
Organism: Erinaceus europaeus (western European hedgehog)
Lineage: Eukaryota; Metazoa; Chordata; Mammalia; Eulipotyphla; Erinaceidae
Source: Ensembl